This is a long non-coding RNA of Scomber japonicus (chub mackerel), 237 nucleotides long. RefSeq lists it as uncharacterized. The record is from RefSeq and is a predicted model, not a curated record. The transcript is spliced from 3 exons. Lineage: Eukaryota; Metazoa; Chordata; Actinopteri; Scombriformes; Scombridae.
AAUAGAUCAUCAUUUUCACAGCAGAAGGAAUGAGGCCUUUACAGCAUAAGGAAGGUGCUGGAUUCCUGGAGGAACAUGUAUAUAUGGCUGGUGACCAUACUACCAAAUUGUUGUUGCCUGUGACCUCUUGCUGGGAAUUAUGAUGAACACUUGUUGUUGUCUGAUGCCUUUUUCUUCACUGCAUUAUUCAGUCUAUAUCCAUGUCCACAAACAGCUUUUUCCCCAACGACGGUUCAU